RNAcentral lists this ribosomal RNA (630 nucleotides) under uncultured Alteromonas sp. RNAcentral's name for it is "bacterial SSU rRNA". It matches the Rfam family "Bacterial small subunit ribosomal RNA", at positions 70 to 697 of the family's 1533-position model. Lineage: Bacteria; Pseudomonadati; Pseudomonadota; Gammaproteobacteria; Alteromonadales; Alteromonadaceae. The record is from RNAcentral.
UAACAUUUCUAGCUUGCUAGAGGAUGACGAGUGGCGGACGGGUGAGUAAUGCUUGGGAACUUGCCUUUGCGAGGGGGAUAACAGUUGGAAACGACUGCUAAUACCGCAUAAUGUCUUCGGACCAAACGGGGCUUCGGCUCCGGCGCAAAGAGAGGCCCAAGUGAGAUUAGCUAGUUGGUAAGGUAAAGGCUUACCAAGGCGACGAUCUCUAGCUGUUCUGAGAGGAAGAUCAGCCACACUGGGACUGAGACACGGCCCAGACUCCUACGGGAGGCAGCAGUGGGGAAUAUUGCACAAUGGGGGAAACCCUGAUGCAGCCAUGCCGCGUGUGUGAAGAAGGCCUUCGGGUUGUAAAGCACUUUCAGUUGUGAGGAAAAGUUAGUAGUUAAUACCUGCUAGCCGUGACGUUAACAACAGAAGAAGCACCGGCUAACUCCGUGCCAGCAGCCGCGGUAAUACGGAGGGUGCGAGCGUUAAUCGGAAUUACUGGGCGUAAAGCGCACGCAGGCGGUUUGUUAAGCUAGAUGUGAAAGCCCCGGGCUCAACCUGGGAUGGUCAUUUAGAACUGGCAGACUAGAGUCUUGGAGAGGGGAGUGGAAUUCCAGGUGUAGCGGUGAAAUGCGUAGAUAU